GUUGACCUCGGAUCAGGUAGGGAUACCCGCUGAACUUAAGCAUAUCAAUAAGCGGAGGAAAAGAAACCAACAGGGAUUGCCUUAGUAACGGCGAGUGAAGCGGCAAUAGCUCAAAUUUGAAAGCUGGCCCCUUCGGGGUCCGCGUUGUAAUUUGUAGAGGAUGAUUCGGCGAGGGCUCCCGUCUAAGUCCCUUGGAACAGGGCGUCAUAGAGGGUGAGAAUCCCGUAUGUGAUGGGCUGCCUUAGCCAUGUGAAUCUCCUUCGACGAGUCGAGUUGUUUGGGAAUGCAGCUCUAAAUGGGAGGUAAAUUUCUUCUAAAGCUAAAUACCGGCCAGAGACCGAUAGCGCACAAGUAGAGUGAUCGAAAGAUGAAAAGCACUUUGGAAAGAGAGUUAAAAAGUACGUGAAAUUGUUGAAAGGGAAGCGCUUGCAGCCAGACUUGUCCGCAGUUGCUCAGCCCGUCUCCUGACGGGCGUACUCUUCUGCGGCCAGGCCAGCAUCAGUUCGGGCGGUCGGAUAAAGACCCGGGGAACGUAGCUCCUCCUCGGGGAAUGUUAUAGCCCCGGGUGCAAAGCGGCCAGCCAGGAUCUGAGGAUCGAUACACCUUCCGCUAGGAAGCUGGCGUAAUGGCUUGAAACGGCCGG
This 643-nucleotide ribosomal RNA is filed under the name Neofusicoccum mediterraneum. Its description in RNAcentral is "eukaryotic LSU rRNA". It matches the Rfam family "Eukaryotic large subunit ribosomal RNA", at positions 1 to 651 of the family's 3401-position model. The record is from RNAcentral. Lineage: Eukaryota; Fungi; Ascomycota; Dothideomycetes; Botryosphaeriales; Botryosphaeriaceae.